UACGGGAGGCAGCAGUGGGGAAUAUUGGACAAUGGGCGCAAGCAUGAUCCAGCCAUGCCGCGUGAGUGAUGACGGCCCUAGGGUUGUAAAGCUCUUUCGACGGGGACGAUAAUGACGGUACCCGUAGAAGAAGCCCCGGCUAACUUCGUGCCAGCAGCCGCGGUAAUACGAAGGGGGCAAGCGUUGUUCGGAAUCACUGGGCGUAAAGGGCGCGUAGGCGGACAUUUAUGUCAGGGGUGAAAUCCCGGGGCUCAACCCCGGAACUGCCCUUGAUACUGGGUGUCUUGAGACCGGAAGAGGCAAGUGGAACUGCGAGUGUAGAGGUGAAAUUCGUAGAUCUUCGCAAGAACACCAGUGGCGAAGGCGGCUUGCUGGUCCGGAUCUGACGGUGAGGCGCGAAAGCGUGGGGAGCACACAGGAUUAGAUACCGUGGUAGUCCACGCCGUAAACGAUGGAUGCCAGCCGUUGGGCAG
RNAcentral lists this ribosomal RNA (473 nucleotides) under uncultured Camelimonas sp. RNAcentral's name for it is "bacterial SSU rRNA". It matches the Rfam family "Bacterial small subunit ribosomal RNA", at positions 340 to 830 of the family's 1533-position model. The record is from RNAcentral. Lineage: Bacteria; Pseudomonadati; Pseudomonadota; Alphaproteobacteria; Hyphomicrobiales; Chelatococcaceae.